This 452-nucleotide ribosomal RNA is filed under the name uncultured bacterium. Its description in RNAcentral is "bacterial SSU rRNA". It matches the Rfam family "Bacterial small subunit ribosomal RNA", at positions 100 to 517 of the family's 1533-position model. The record is from RNAcentral.
GCAAGGGUGCGUAACUACGUGGAGUAAUUUGCCGUGAAGUUGGGGAUAACUCGCUGACAAGGCGAUGCUAACUAGCCCGAAUGUGAUUAACCCGUGGUGGGCAUCUCCUGGUUUUUAAUAGUUGGGGACCGCAAGGCCUGACGCUUCUCGGAUAAGCCCGCGGCCUAUCAGCUAGUUGGUGAAGGUAACGGCUCACCAAGGCUAAGACGGGUAGCUGGUCUGAGAGGACGACCAGUCACACUGGAACUGAGACACGGAUCCAAUCACAUACGGGUGGCAGCAGUCGAGAAUUUUUCUCAAUGGGCGAAAGCCUGAAGGAGCGACGCCGCGUGGGGGAUGAAGGGCUUCGGCCCGUAAACCCCUGUCAUUUGCGAACAAACCUUAUGAUUGAACAGAUCAUGAGCUGAUUGUAGCGAAAGAGGAAGGGACGGCUAACUCUGUGCCAGCAGCCG